CUACGGGAGGCAGCAGUAAGGAAUAUUGGGCAAUGGACGCAAGUCUGACCCAGCCAUGCCGCGUGCAGGAUGACAGCCCUACGGGUUGUAAACUGCUUUUAUACGGGAAAAAUUCCCCGGUCGUGAAUCGGGGUUGAUGGUACCGUAAGAAUAAGCAUCGGCUAACUCCGUGCCAGCAGCCGCGGUAAUACGGAGGAUGCAAGCGUUAUCCGGAUUCAUUGGGUUUAAAGGGUGCGUAGGCGGAAUGAUAAGUCAGUGGUGAAAUCCUACAGCUUAACUGUAGAACUGCCAUUGAUACUGUUGUUCUUGAGUACAUUUGAAGUGGGCGGAAUGUGUCAUGUAGCGGUGAAAUGCAUAGAGAUGACACAGAACACCGAUCGCGAAGGCAGCUCACUAAACUGUAACUGACGCUGAGGCACGAAAGCGUGGGGAUCAAACAGGAUUAGAUACCCCCGUAGUC
RNAcentral lists this ribosomal RNA (460 nucleotides) under uncultured bacterium. RNAcentral's name for it is "partial 16S ribosomal RNA". It matches the Rfam family "Bacterial small subunit ribosomal RNA", at positions 339 to 795 of the family's 1533-position model. The record is from RNAcentral.